Equus caballus (horse) is the source of this 1985-nucleotide long non-coding RNA. Lineage: Eukaryota; Metazoa; Chordata; Mammalia; Perissodactyla; Equidae. The record is from Ensembl.
CUAUCUUCCUGUUUGGAGUAACAGAUGAUGUUGACAGGGCCUGAGAGCUCCCUCUACAGGCCUUCCUGAAUCUUAGUUAAGUCUUCUUAGUCAAUGUUAGAAAUCUUAGCUAAGAUUUCUUUUAUUAAUUUUGACACUUUUACUAGAAAAGGAUGGAAAAAGACAUGGCAACCCAAUCAACAUGGUGGGCACCAUCAGGGCUUAGCUUUGCUGAGCCUCAGCUAUAAAAUGAGAGUUGAACUGGGUCAUCUCUAACCCCUGGGGAUGAUGGAGACACGGCCCACGAGAGAGCCCUGAAGCAGAAGGGAGGAUGAGGGACGGGCAGCAGAGGUCUAAAGUGAAAGAGAGAAUGAUUUCCAAGCUUGAUUCUGGUCCCUGCCUUGUGGAAGAGGUGGUCCCAAGGGGCAGCAACAGAGAAGGCCAGGGGCAGGGGGGAAAGGGAGAAAAGACCUAUUUUUCAAAGUGGGAUCACAUAGGCUGACUUGGAUGAUACUUAAGACAAGACUUAAUAUAGGAGGGGUAGGGGUGGGCAUUUCAGGCAGAGGAAACAAUCAGAAAGGCCCUGCCUAUUUGAGGGAUGGACAGACAUCCGUGUGGCUGGCGCUUUGUGAACCAGUGGGUAGAUGGUGUGUGAUCAGGACAGAGAGAGGGCAGGGGCCCUGGAAAGGAGCCUGAAUGUAUUCAAAGUGCAAAGGGGAAAGCUUUGCAGUGACCUGCUAUCCCUGCGUUUUGGAAAGGGUCCUCUGGACACCGUGUGAAGUACAGAUUGUGGAGGGAACUGCAGUCUGGAGGCUACUGCAGUGGUCCAGGCAGGAGGCGGGCCUGGGCCAGAACGCUGGCACAGGAGGAGCAGGGGGUGGGCACACUUGAGGAGCAUUUUGUAGAUCAAGAUGGCAACUGCAGUGACUCUGAUUCUAAUUACUGUAGUUAUUUGCUAAUGAUGUGAGAUUCUAGAAUUCCACCGUUGGAAGUGCCUUGAAAAUGGGAGUUUCACAGCCUGAAGCAGUAAAUCUGGCUAAACAUGCUUCAGGAAGAGCGGGACCUCCUAAACUGUAAGAUGCCAAACACUGCCCUGCCCUGGGUGGUAGAAACUGUGUUAGCAGCGGAGGAAACGGCGGCUUCAGCUGGCCCGAGUGACAAAACUGAGUCUGUCUGGUAUCGGCUCCAGCCGUGAGUCACUGGCUAUUUUUACUUCUAAGGCCAGAGCUGCGGCUUAUUCAGGGGCUCCUGUUUCCUGGCUGAUGAAGCAGAUGGAAGAAACACGAUCUGGCCAUCCAGAGGCCUGUGCAAAAUGCAGGAGCCAGCUGGGCGCUGGGGGGAAGCUGAGCUCAGCGGGGCGGGCCUGGACCUCUGUGUUCUCACCUGUCCCGGGCACCGCGUGGCCUCUGCCUCCCUCUUCUGCUUGGUUUCUUGCACUACCUGCUCAGCAGCGUGGGGGAAUUGCACGAUCCGAGUUCUGUUUUGCGAUGCAACGUGGGGUUGUCAAUUGUGCUUAACUACAUGAGAGAAUUGAAACAGAGCUUCGGUGGAGACACCUCCAGACCCCAGCCUUUGAGGGGGCAGUUGGUUGCUCUGGACAUGCACCUUUUCGUGUGUCCUCAGGGCUCAGCUCUGCGACGCUGGAGACGUUGAGACUUCAUGAGUCUCCUUUCUGUCCCGGGAUGUGCCCACAUUAGGCCUUAGCGCUGGUGGAAUGUCCAAUGGAGGUGCUGGCGUGUGAUCUGCAGAGCCCAGAAUGUUCUGUGGAGGGCCUUGAACACGGCCGGCCAGCAGGAUGACAAGGGGGAGACUGAGUGUGCCACCCCCUGCCUGUCUUGGCCAGAGACCCACCCCCAACUCGCUGCUGUGAUGGAUCUGCUGGGCUUCUGUUGGUGGAAAGGGGGCAGAGAACUGGACUGGAGUCCUGGCCCCACCACUGAACAGCUUGUGGCCUUGGGAAAGUUACUGGCCUCUCUGUGCCUUAGUUUCCCUGGGAGAGAUGAGGG